CUGGGUUACGGAGAUAUGGUGCCUUCAACGAUAAUGGGUAAAAUAGUGGGAGGAAUCUGUUCACUUUCCGGAGUGUUGGUAAUCGCUCUACCGGUUCCCGUUAUCGUUAGCAAC
Molecule: small RNA, 114 nt
Filed under: Caenorhabditis briggsae
Lineage: Eukaryota; Metazoa; Nematoda; Chromadorea; Rhabditida; Rhabditidae
Description: sRNA CBG29578
Rfam family: Potassium channel RNA editing signal
About the family: This family represents a group of sequences related to the human potassium channel Kv1.1 hairpin element which directs the efficient modification of an adenosine to inosine by an adenosine deaminase acting on RNA (ADAR). The ADAR modification causes an isoleucine/valine recoding event which lies in the ion-conducting pore of the potassium channel.
Source: RNAcentral